ACGGAGGGUGCAAGCGUUGUUCGGAAUUACUGGGCGUAAAGGGUGCGUAGGCGGCAGUGCAAGUCAGAUGUGAAAUACCCGGGCUUAACCUGAGAACAGCAUUUGAAACUGCACAGCUUGAGUACAGCAGAGGGAAGCGGAAUUCCCGGUGUAGAGGUGAAAUUCGUAGAUAUCGGUAGGAACACCAGUGGCGAAGGCGGUUUCCUGGUCUGAUACUGACGCUGAGGCGCGAAAGCGUGGGGAGCAAACAG
This 251-nucleotide ribosomal RNA is filed under the name uncultured prokaryote. RNAcentral's name for it is "partial 16S rRNA". It matches the Rfam family "Bacterial small subunit ribosomal RNA", at positions 525 to 775 of the family's 1533-position model. The record is from RNAcentral.